This 261-nucleotide ribosomal RNA is filed under the name uncultured archaeon. RNAcentral describes it as "partial 16S ribosomal RNA". It matches the Rfam family "Archaeal small subunit ribosomal RNA", at positions 748 to 1008 of the family's 1478-position model. The record is from RNAcentral.
CAGCCGUAUACUAUGCGCGUUAGGUGUAUCGGUGACCACGAGUUACCGAGGUGCCGAAGGGAAACCGUGAAACGUGCCGCCUGGGAAGUACGGUCGCAAGGCUGAAACUUAAAGGAAUUGGCGGGGGAGCACCACAAUGGGUGGAGCCUGCGGUUUAAUUGGACUCAACGCCGGGAAGCUCACCGGAUAAGACAGCGGAAUGAUUGCCGGGCUGAAGACUCUGCAUGACUAGCUGAGAGGUGGUGCAUGGCGUGUGACUGU